AGGUGGAAAUGAUCUCAAGUGCAGAUCAAUCUAGUGUCGUCUUAGAGAAGAAGAAACAUAGGUCUUGGAAAUUUGAGACUUCUCAACAUCUCUAACUCUGUGACAGGCAGAGGAAAGGCUGUGUGUGGAGAUUCAGAUCACUGUGCCGAGAACAGAGAUUAAUGGCAGGCCAUUUUAAUUUAGCUCUCUCAACAACUUUCAAGAGAUAAAGGGCUGCGAAAAGAUACAACUGGCUGCUCCAGCCAUUGCUUGCAAAGUUGUCCUGAGCAGAUAACUGAAGAGCAACCUUUUUCUGCGCUGGUAUCUGUUCGGCUGUCUCUCCUCUCUGACUAAUUCUAUCCCAGCAUGGAGGCCAGCAUCAUCAGUGACUUUGGAUACAUCUAGCAAACUGCAGCCAUCAAAGGACAUGAUGGAUGGCGGAAUGCUCAGAAUUGGCAUACGAGCACUGCACAUGCUCAGCUCUCAGCGGCUCCUUCUCUCAUGUCUGUCAUUUCCCAGGUACAUCACAUGGCAUCGAUGCCACAGGAGAUGCUUCCAUGUUUAUACAAAAACCAGUACAUGAGCCUGCAGAUUCCUCUGAUUUGAUCUCCAAAUGCAUGUGAAUACCUGCAGCAGGCCAGGCUGAGCCUGGGUGGCAAUUAGCUCUUGUGAGACCUGCCUGAAGAUGUGGACACGGUACUUGCAUGUCAGGAGAUGUCAGUUUGUGGCGCUGCAUCCCUCUGCUUUGAGUGGAACUGUGUCCCUCUGGCUUGCUUCAUGCAUCUGCUUAUGAGCAAGGGCUUCAUUUCCAAAAGAAGAGGAAGAGGACCUACCUGGUUAUUUAGGCUUUUCUUUAUUUAAGAUGAAAAGUACUGUUCAUAGAUGAAAUACAUAUUUGCAUAUGCUCAUAAAAUAUUUACAUGGAAAUAUACAAAAUGCAGUCAUUUAUGAUCCCUUAAUUAGUCUUUGAAUGGAAUAAAAAACUAAUGGAAAUAGAAUUUGUUAAUUCAUUAGUGUUGGGCCAUAACUCUGGCACCGUUUUUCAGUAAUUAAUAGGACCUGAAAAGAACAUUGUUUGGUUACAUUGCAUUUUCCCCUUUAACUCUUUAUUUGGUGUGAUCUUAGCACAUUUUAAUCAGUGAAAAGUAUCAGUAGCCAGUGACCUUUACUCACAGUCAUUUUAUUAAAGCGUUGCCUCAGGCCACAUCAUGAAUCUAUACUGCAUCCCACAACACUGCAUCCCACAACACAGCAUCCCACUACACUGCAUCCCACUACACUAUAUCCCACAACACAGCAUCCCACUACACUGCAUCCCACAACACAGCAUCCCACUACACUGCAUCCCACUACACUGCAUCCCACAACACAGCAUCCCACUACACUGCAUCCCACAAUACUGCAUACUACACUACAUCCCACAACACUGCAUCCCACAACACUGCAUCCCACUAUAUUGCAUCCAUCUUACUACACUGCAUCCCACUAUAAACUGUAUUCUACUACACUGCAUCCCGCAACACUGCAUUUAAACAAGCAAGUCUGUUUGUUGGCAAUAAGCAAUAAUUGGUGAGUGGUUCACAAGCCCCUGUAACUCUAGCGCCUGAGGAUCUGAUGCCUUCUUAUGGCCUCUGUGGGCACUUCAUGCAUAUGGUACACAGACAUACAUGCAAACAAGAUGCACUCAUACACAUAAAAUAAAAAUAAACUCAAAGUCUUUAUUCUAAGAUGAGUCUGACAUGUGGGAAGCUGCUUGCUGAAAAAGCUAAGUACAAGGGGGAGGUGGAAUACUGAGUGUAUUUGAGAUAGGACCAGUGUGAGAGACAGUUAUCAGUUAGGAAACAAGAUGUGUGUUUGGAAUCUACAUACAAAAUGGUGCUGUACAAAGUUGCUUGGGAAUCCAAACAGAGCUAUGAUGCAUUAAUAUCAUGCAGAAUUUCUUAGCACAGAAGUUUCAUCAAUUUCAGGUAUAUUAGUUGCUUUCUCAUUGGUGUGAACGAAUACUCAACAACAAUUUACGGGAGGUGGGGAUGGAUUUAUUCUGGCUUGAAAUCUGAGAGGAUAUAAUCUGUCAUGGCAGGAAAGGCAUGACCCAGGCAGCUCAGCAGUGAGGGGAGAGCAAGCCCGCUUGCUCAACCCUAAAUGGGAUGUCUGACCAAAUGGGUGCUUCACCUUGCAUUCUCAGUCGUUUCAAGCUGACAGAGCCGGGAGAGGCAUCCUCUACAGAGGGCAUAUUCAGAGGUUGUUACAGAGGUUGUUGGCUCCAUGAACUGAUCUAAAUUUUAAUAUUAUUGACAGGUCAAGACAUUGCUGAGAAUGUUGCAGGGAACAUGGACCUUCUCCUUCAUUCUGUCUUCCAUUUCCCCAGGGUAGCCACAGACCUCAGGCAUCAGGAUCCACAUUUCUUCUUCACAAAAUGAGCCAUCUGCUAAAUUGCUGUUUGAGAUUUGAAACUAGUCUCAAUUGUUAGUUUAUUAAAUGCAAUAAGUUACAAUAAUGAAGUGUUAGAAUUAUAACCCACAUGGGUAGGA
Molecule: long non-coding RNA, 2510 nt
Organism: Mus musculus (house mouse)
Lineage: Eukaryota; Metazoa; Chordata; Mammalia; Rodentia; Muridae
Product: predicted gene 16168
Exons: 3
Source: RefSeq, a predicted model, not a curated record